ACAUGCUAGAUCGAGCGUCUGAGGUGAAAGUAGCUUGCUAGUUUUGCCGGCGAGGGGAGGACGGUGUGAGUAAUCGNCUGGGAAAUUGCGCAGUCGAGGGGGAUAACAGUUGGAAACGACUGCUAAUACCGCAUACGCCCUACGGGGGAAAGCAGGGGACCUUCGGGCCUUGCGCGAUUGGAUAUGCCCAGGUGGGAUUAGCUAGUUGGUGAGGUAAUGGCUCACCAAGGCGACGAUCCCUAGCUGGUCUGAGAGGAUGAUCAGCCACACUGGAACUGAGACACGGUCCAGACUCCUACGGGAGGCAGCAGUGGGGAAUAUUGCACAAUGGGGGAACCCUGAUGCAGCCAUGCCGCGUGUGUGAAGAAGGCCUUCGGGUUGUAAAGCACUUUCAGCGAGGAGGAAAGGUCAGUAGCUAAUAUCUGCUGGCUGUGACGUUACUCGCAGAGAGCACCGGCUAACUCCGUGCAGCGGCCGCGGUAAUACGGAGGGUGCAGCGUAAUCGGAUACUGGCGUAAGCGCACGCGGCGGUGAUAGUAGAUGUGAAGCC
This 550-nucleotide ribosomal RNA is filed under the name bacterium amp-w-65. RNAcentral's name for it is "bacterial SSU rRNA". It matches the Rfam family "Bacterial small subunit ribosomal RNA", at positions 53 to 545 of the family's 1533-position model. The record is from RNAcentral.